This 1063-nucleotide long non-coding RNA is filed under the name Cervus hanglu yarkandensis (Yarkand deer). Its description in RNAcentral is "lncRNA (ENSCHYG00000021624.1)". The record is from RNAcentral. Lineage: Eukaryota; Metazoa; Chordata; Mammalia; Artiodactyla; Cervidae.
AUGACCUCGGGCCUUGUAGGAACUGCAAUCGCUCUUAAAAGAAGUGUAACAUUUGUAUUAAUAUUUAAUUGGUCCAAUUUGGAGGAACUUGAAACUGCAAUUAGAGGGCAGUGCCCAUCUGCUUCCCGCAGGCGCGUGGCUCUUACCAGAUCCCUGGGAGGCUGCAGGGGCCGCCCGUCACCUUCACGUGUGUUCCUUAACAACGUGCGCACAGUCUCUCAAGGGGGAGCUCCAGAUGGUGAAGGAAACUCUCCAGGCCAUGGCCCUGCAGCUCCAGCCAGCAAAGGAGGCGGGGGAGAGGGAGGCUGCAGCUUCAUGUGUGACAGCUGGCGUCCAGGAAGCACAGGCCUGAGGCCUGACAGGACGGAGGAAGGAUUAGUGAUGCUCCUGUCUUCAUUCGGAUCCAUGGACAGUAGACAAUCUUUGUCAUUUCCUGAAGUCACACUGCCAUUUCCAAAGGCAGCUGGUGCCUUGCUCAGCCUUCUCCCGUGCAGUGCUUCCGUCAGGAGAUGGCCCUGCUUAAGCCAGCAGGUGGCCACGGUCCAGGGAACAAGCCAAAGCACAGCAUAUGAAUUUCCUGAUUGUCUUUUCUACAAUUUUCUGGUGGCCUCAUAUGAAAAUACAUCUCCACACAAUGAGACAUUCCCUUCGUACUUCAUCAAAUUCUGUAGUUAUGAAUUAACAACAUACAAGAUGAUCAAGUCAGCAGCCAGGGCUGCUGGGGUCUGGGUCUGGACUUCUGUAGACCCUGCAACCUUGACAGCUCCACCUACAUCAUUAGGUAAUAACACCUGACACUGGAUGUUAUUUCAUCUUCAAAAGAAUUUCUCCCUAGGGGCAAAAACUUUGUCCUUCUCAUUCAAGGUUGAAUCUCCAGAACCUAAAACAGUGCCUUGACAUAAAGACAAUCAAUCAGUGCUUGUAGAAUAAAGAAUGACUGUAAAUAAUACCUUCAAUUUACUGUUGGCUGUGUCUCAUCCAAACAUGAGCUUACUCAGAAAUUUGUGAAUUAGAAAUUAUAACCCACAAAUUAUUUUCAAAUACAGUGUAUUUAUGAGUAAUA